UACGUAGGGGGCGAGCGUUGUCCGGAUUUAUUGGGCGUAAAGAGCGUGUAGGCGGUUCGGUAAGUCUGUCUUGAAAUCCUGAGGCUCAACCUCGGGCGUGCGAUGGAUACUGCCGGGCUAGAGGAUGGUAGAGGCGAGUGGAAUUCCCGGUGUAGCGGUGAAAUGCGCAGAUAUCGGGAGGAACACCUAUGGCGAAGGCAGCUCGCUGGGACGUUACUGACGCUGAGACGCGAAAGCGUGGGGAGCAAACAGG
RNAcentral lists this ribosomal RNA (253 nucleotides) under uncultured bacterium. Its description in RNAcentral is "partial 16S ribosomal RNA". It matches the Rfam family "Bacterial small subunit ribosomal RNA", at positions 524 to 776 of the family's 1533-position model. The record is from RNAcentral.